AGAGAAGCUUAUCUGCUUUUUGGAGAUAAAUAUUCAAAUUACUGGUGUAUGAGAGGGAUAGAAUUAUUCUAUCAUAUUGUUUAUUCAACAUCUAAAAAGAUUCCAUGUUUAGUCAUCUAUAUUGGCAUUGUAGAGAGAGAGACCAGUGUUCAACUGGUUGAAAGGAUGAGAGAGAGAGGAGAGUUUGGAUGAUAGAGAGAUUAGUGUUCACCUGGUUGGAAGGAUGAGAGGGAGAUGAGAGAGUUCGGAUGAGAAGGUGGAGAGUUCGGAGGAGAGAGAGAGGUGAGAGUUCAGAUGAGAGGUGUGAGAGAGGUGAGAGUUCGGAUGAGAGAGAGAAAGUAGCUUAGAAGGAUGAGAGAGAAAGCGGUAUUCAACUGGAUGGUGGAGAAUUCAUAUAUUACUAAUAAUGCAUCCAAACAACAUUUGAAAUUUAAUUCUAAGAAAAACUUUCUUGGUACAUCCAAAUAAGAAAAUUCAAUUGAAUCAAAUUCUACAGAAUCCAUUUCCAAUGGAAUCUAAUUGCUAGAAUAUGAUUCAUGGAAUGAGUUUCAAUUCUAGGGAUCCAAACGGGCCCUAAGGGAAGAGUUACAACUGAUCCGUAUGCUUAUGAUUCACAACUUGGUGUGCUAACAGCCAUCAACAAUUAUGCAUGGAGAUAGUUUUAAAUGAAUUUGAGAUGCAUGAUAUCAAUGUAAAGAAAGAUACCAAUGAACAUUUGAGCAUUAUUUGAAGGAUAAUGGUUGCAUAUCUCCGGGGAUCCAUUUCUUGCAAUAUGAGACUACACAGGAUAAGCUUGCAAACCAAGUUAGUCUAAAAAUCACAAACCAUAAGAUAGCUCCCUCUAAAUAUAAUGCAUCCAAGUAUUUGAAUUACUUGGGAGAGACAUG
Molecule: long non-coding RNA, 887 nt
Filed under: Setaria viridis
Lineage: Eukaryota; Viridiplantae; Streptophyta; Magnoliopsida; Poales; Poaceae
Description: long non-coding RNA (SVIR_LNC010875)
Source: RNAcentral